AGUGGAUGGGGAGCAACCUAGUUGUGCGUGUGUAAAGGUAGUGCCAAGAAAAGCGAUGAUCAUGUUGAAAAUCAAUUCCCGGUACCCGAAACCGACACAGGUGGCGAGUAGAGAAUACUAAGGGGCGCGAGGUAACUCUCUCCAAGGAACUCGGCAAAAUGACCCCGUAACUUAGGGAGAAGGGGUGCCACCGAGAGGUGGUCGCAGUGAAGAGGCCCAGGCGACUGUUUAGCAAAAACAUAGGUCUCUGCAAACUCGAAAGAGGAGGUAUAGGGGCUGACGCCUGCCCAGUGCCGGAAGGUUAAAGAAGUUGGUCAGUCUUAGGAUGAAGCUAGCGACUGAAGCCCCGGUGAACGGCGGCCGUAACUAUAACGGUCCUAAGGUAGCGAAAUUCCUUGUCGGGUAAGUUCCGACCCGCACGAAAGGCGUAACGAUCUGGGCGCUGUCUCGGAGAGAGGCUCGGCGAAAUAGGAUUGUCUGUGAAGAUACGGACUACCUGCAUUUGGACAGAAAGACCCUAUGAAGCUUUACUAUAGCUUGGAAUUGUGUUCGGGCUUCCUGUGCGCAGGAUAGGUGGGAGGCGUAGAAGGUAUUCUUGUGGGGAUACUGGAGCCAACGGUGAGAUACCACUCUCAGGAGGCUAGAAUUCUAACUUAAUUAAGGACAGUUUCAGGUGGGUAGUUUGACUGGGGCGGUCGCCUCCAAAAAGGUAACGGAGGCGUACAAAGGUUCCCUCAGACUGGUUGGAAAUCAGUCGAAGAGUGCAAAGGCAGAAAGGAGCUUGACUGCGAGAAGUACAGUUCGAGCAGGGUGGAAACACGGUCUUAGUGAUCCGACGGUGCUGUGUGGAAGGGCCGUCGCUCAACGGAUAAAAGUUACUCUAAGGAUAACAGGCUGAUCUCCCCCAAGAGUUCACAUCGACGGGGAGGUUUGGCACCUCGAUGUCGGCUCAUCGCAACCUGGGGCGGAAGUACGUCCCAAGGGUUGGGCUGUUCGCCCAUUAAAGCGGUACGUGAGCUGGGUUCAGAACGUCGUGAGACAGUUCGGUCCAUAUCCGAUGUAGGCGUGAGAAUAUUGAGAGGAGCCUUCCUUAGUACGAGAGGACCGGGAAGGACGCACCGCUGGUGUACCUGUUAUGAUGCCAAUUGUAAACGCAGGGUAGCCAAGUGCGGAGAGGAUAACCGCUGAAAGCAUCUAAGUGGGAAGCCCACCUCAAGAUGAGUAUUCUGGUGUAAGGUCACGGGAAGACGACCCGUAAAUAGGCACGAGGUGGAAGUGCAGAGAUGUAUGAAGCCGAAGUGUACUAAUAGACCGUCGGCUUGAGC
Molecule: ribosomal RNA, 1325 nt
Filed under: metagenome
Description: bacterial LSU rRNA
Rfam family: Bacterial large subunit ribosomal RNA
Source: RNAcentral